ACUGAGACACGGUCCAGACUCCUACGGGAGGCAGCAGUGGGGAAUAUUGCACAAUGGGCGCAAGCCUGAUGCAGCCAUGCCGCGUGUAUGAAGAAGGCCUUCGGGUUGUAAAGUACUUUCAGCGGGGAGGAAGGUGCUGUGGUUAAUAACCGCAGCAAUUGACGUUACCCGCAGAAGAAGCACCGGCUAACUCCGUGCCAGCAGCCGCGGUAAUACGGAGGGUGCAAGCGUUAAUCGGAAUUACUGGGCGUAAAGCGCACGCAGGCGGUCUGU
RNAcentral lists this ribosomal RNA (273 nucleotides) under Citrobacter koseri. RNAcentral describes it as "partial 16S ribosomal RNA". It matches the Rfam family "Bacterial small subunit ribosomal RNA", at positions 318 to 583 of the family's 1533-position model. Lineage: Bacteria; Pseudomonadati; Pseudomonadota; Gammaproteobacteria; Enterobacterales; Enterobacteriaceae. The record is from RNAcentral.